GUCAUGAGAAAUGAACAGAGACGGUGACAUUUGCAUAGCUACUCUUUUGACUGUUAUCUUUUGGUAUUACAGCAAGAAAUAUGGUAUAAAGAACCUUAGUCAUAAUGUCACCCAUGUAAAAAUAUAAUGUUAAGGUAAGUUUCUAGGUCAAAAUUCUAAAUUAUAUUAGGCAUAUUUAAAAAUAUCUACUAUCUACUAUUCCAUAAGUAAUGUUGCAAAUGACAUAUCAUUUGCAUCUGCCUUUAUCUUUUUAUGUUUGUGGUUGAAACUCACAUUUAUAUAAACAAAUGUCAGAUGUAUUUCCUUUUCUAUGAUGUCUAUGAUUUUAUUUUUUGUCAUUUUCCCCUGUUGAGCUUCUUGUCUUUUCCUUGUUGUUUUAUUGUGCUGGGGCAUUAAUUACAGCAGACCUAAAAUCAUCCUGAGCAGCGUUUUUAAAGCUCCCACAUGGCACUGACCUCCAGACAAACCUGAAGCAUACUGAUUCAUAGUGUAGAUUUGUAAUCACGAGUCUGAGAAUUUUGAGGUCAUAUACUAGCUUGUUAGCAUUGUUUAUUUUUGACAAUGUGAUUGAUGCUUUUCCCUGGUACAGUGAGAUCCAGAAAGAACUCUCCUGCUGCGUCUGGUUUCCUAGCAGGAAUAUGCCUAUGUGAUCAGCAAAAUGUAAAAAUUCCCAACUGAGACUCUAUUUUGACUCCCAGUGUUUCCUGAUUCAAGCAAGAAAUGAAGUCCUGAAAGGACACUUACUGAGUGAAGAACACAUGACUGAGCCUGACUUCUCCAGACUGCUUCUUGUGACUUUGUCUGAUGCAUAUCCUUUAAUACUAUUGCUAAACUGUAUGCUUAUCUUGUAUUAAACUGUAUUUUUAAGCACUGUCA
Long non-coding RNA from Sapajus apella (tufted capuchin), 876 nucleotides. RefSeq lists it as uncharacterized. The record is from RefSeq and is a predicted model, not a curated record. The transcript has 2 exons. NCBI's taxonomy places the organism in Eukaryota, Metazoa, Chordata, Mammalia, Primates, Cebidae.